UUGAAAGGGAAACGAUUGAAGUCAGUCGUACCGACGAGAAAUCAACCUAUCGUGUGCGAACUUGUGGGCGUGCGUGAGUUUCGGCCUCGCUGUUUGCAUGUUUGUGCGCUUUGGGUGUACUUUUUCGUAUGGUAGGCCAACGUCAGUUUCGAUUAUCAUAAAAUGACCGGCGGAAUGUAGCUUCGAUUUCGGUUGAAGUGUUAUAGCCUCUGGUAGAUGUGGUGAUUGAGACUGAGGAUUGCAACGAAUACCCUUUGGGCUAUCCGUCUGGCCUCUGAAAGUUGCUCAGGUGCCGAAAGCGUGCUUACGGUCAUCUAAGAUAACGUUCAACAGGUUAGAACGUGAUUACAUUCGUUAAGGAUGUUGAC
This 368-nucleotide ribosomal RNA is filed under the name uncultured Glomeromycotina. RNAcentral's name for it is "eukaryotic LSU rRNA". Lineage: Eukaryota; Fungi; Glomeromycota. The record is from RNAcentral.